RNAcentral lists this ribosomal RNA (165 nucleotides) under Pseudorobillarda sp. RNAcentral's name for it is "partial large subunit ribosomal RNA". It matches the Rfam family "Eukaryotic large subunit ribosomal RNA", at positions 99 to 261 of the family's 3401-position model. Lineage: Eukaryota; Fungi; Ascomycota; Dothideomycetes; Pleosporales. The record is from RNAcentral.
CGGCAAUAGCUCAGAUUUGAAAUCUGGUCCUUUCAGGGCCCGAGUUGUAAUCUGUAGAGGAUGUUUCGGCGUUGGCUCCGGUCUAAGUUCCUUGGAACAGGACGUCACAGAGGGUGAGAAUCCCGUACGUGGCUGGUCUCCUUCGCCAUGUGAAACUCCUUCAAC